CCCUUAGAUGUUCUGGGCUGCACGCGCGCUACACUGAUGCGUUCAACGAGUUUAUGACCUUGCCCGAUAGGGUUGGGUAAUCUUUUUAAAUCGCAUCGUGAUGGGGAUAGACUUUUGCAAUUUUUGGUCUUCAACGAGGAAUUCCUAGUAAACGCAAGUCAUCAACUUGCAUUGAUUACGUCCCUGCCCUUUGUACACACCGCCCGUCGCACCUACCGAUUGAAUGGUCCGGUGAAGCCUCCGGAUUGGCGCGCACCUCGGUGCCGCCGAGAAGUUGGCUAAACCUUACCAUUUAGAGGAAGGUGAAGUCGUAACA
Molecule: ribosomal RNA, 316 nt
Filed under: uncultured eukaryote
Lineage: Eukaryota
Description: partial 18S ribosomal RNA
Rfam family: Eukaryotic small subunit ribosomal RNA
Source: RNAcentral